CACGUAGGGCGCAAGCGUUGUCCGGAAUUAUUGGGCGUAAAGAGCUCGUAGGCGGUCUGUUGCGUCCGCUGUGAAAACCCAGGGCUCAACCCUGGGCCUGCAUUCGAUACGGGCAGACUAGAGUUCGGUAGGGGAGACUGGAAUUCCUGGUGUAGCGGUGAAAUGCGCAGAUAUCAGGAGGAACACCGGUGGCGAAGGCAGGUCUCUGGGCCGAUACUGACGCUGAGGAGCGAAAGCGUGGGGAGCGAACAGG
This 253-nucleotide ribosomal RNA is filed under the name uncultured bacterium. RNAcentral describes it as "partial 16S ribosomal RNA". It matches the Rfam family "Bacterial small subunit ribosomal RNA", at positions 524 to 776 of the family's 1533-position model. The record is from RNAcentral.